RNAcentral lists this unclassified non-coding RNA (922 nucleotides) under Hevea brasiliensis (rubber tree). The record is from RNAcentral. Lineage: Eukaryota; Viridiplantae; Streptophyta; Magnoliopsida; Malpighiales; Euphorbiaceae.
GGGACCCCAGACCCAGAGGCCGCUUUGAUGCACAGUGCUCUGUUUGGCUCUAACAAUGCCUUCCCUUUCCUUUCUUUCUUGGCCUUUCCUUUUUCUUUCCUUCUGGGUGGUUUUGCUAAUCUCACCUGCAUAUUCACUUAACUGCACAUCCCAGAAGUUCACCAACAAGCUUUUUGAUAAUUGCACAGACCUGCCCACACUCAAUGCCUACCUACACUACACCUACAACCCCUCCAACUCCUCCCUUUCAAUCGCCUUAAAGGCGCCUCCGGCCAAGACUGACGGCUGGGUGGGAUGGGGCAUCAACCUCAAUGGGACUGGCAUGGCAGGUGCCCAGGCUCUUGUGGCAAUGAAAAACGGCACCGUAGUGGUCGUGAAGAAAUACAGCCUCGCUUCCUACAGUGAUAUCAAGGAGACAUCGAAGCUGACGGUUGAUGUCUGGGACUUGAGCGCAGAGUCUGACUCCGCUGGGAACUUCGUGAUCUUUGCUUCUGUGAAGGUCCCGGUAGGUCCGUCGGUGAACCAGAUUUGGCAGGUGGGUCCAUCGGUGAACAAUGGGUUUCCGGCCAAGCACAAUUUCGACAAAGCAAAUCUCCAGGCCAAGGGAACACUGCAACUAGUGGCUUCACAGAGCAGUGGCGGAAAUACUACAACCGGAACUGGUUCUGAUUCUACUACUGGCAGUUCUUCUCGCACUAAUAGUACUGGUGCUGGAUCCAAGAUUAAGGAGCUGAAUGCUGGUUUUCACUUUGGGCUUCUUGCUCUUCUAGGAAGUCUUACAGUUUUCUGAUUUGGUGAUUUUGAUUUUGAGAAUUUUCUUGUAAUUUUGAUGGAAUUUCUUGUAAUUUUGAUGGAAUUUUGGUAGUGAUUUGAGAUAAUUGAUUAGUUUGUAGAAAGCGAAUAAUUAACUAAUGUGUAUGUG